RNAcentral lists this ribosomal RNA (169 nucleotides) under uncultured bacterium. RNAcentral describes it as "partial 16S ribosomal RNA". It matches the Rfam family "Bacterial small subunit ribosomal RNA", at positions 338 to 524 of the family's 1533-position model. The record is from RNAcentral.
CCUACGGGAGGCAGCAGUGGGGAAUAUUGGACAAUGGGCGCAAGCCUGAUCCAGCCAUGCCGCGUGAGUGAUGAAGGCCCUAGGGUUGUAAAGCUCUUUUGUGCGGGAAGAUAAUGACGGUACCGCAAAAAUAAGCCCCGGCUAACUUCGUGCCAGCAGCCGCGGUAAU